GGUCAUGAGCGCCAGCGACAAGCCCCGGCUCGCUGGCCGGCAACCCUCCGCCGCGGUGGGGUGCUCCGGGUGAGGACCAGGCCUCGACGGUCGGGGCAAGCGCGAGU
Molecule: non-coding RNA, 107 nt
Filed under: zebrafish metagenome
Description: S-adenosyl methionine (SAM) riboswitch
Rfam family: SAM (S-adenosyl methionine) riboswitch aptamer
About the family: SAM-IV is a mRNA element that regulates gene expression via direct sensing of S-adenosylmethionine (SAM or AdoMet). SAM-IV riboswitches share conserved nucleotide positions with the previously described SAM-I riboswitches sequence analysis and molecular recognition experiments suggest that SAM-I and SAM-IV riboswitches share similar ligand binding sites, but have different scaffolds.
Source: RNAcentral